GCCGGGUGUGGUGGUGGGCGCCUGUAGUCCCAGCCACUCAGGAGGCUGAGGCAGGAGAAUGGUGUGAACCCGGGAGGCGGAGCUUGCAGUGAGCCGAGAUUGUGCCACUGCACUCCAGCCUGAGGUGACAGAGUGAGACUCUGUCUCAAAAAAAAAUAAUAAUAAUAACUUCUUUUUAUUUAUUUACUUGUUUUUUUGGAGGCAGAGUCACUCUGUUGCCCAGGCUGGAGUGCAGUGUGGACACAAUCUUGGCUCACUGCAGCCUCUUUCUCCCGGGUUCAAGCAAUUCUCAUGCCUCAG
Molecule: signal recognition particle RNA, 300 nt
Filed under: Macaca fascicularis (crab-eating macaque)
Lineage: Eukaryota; Metazoa; Chordata; Mammalia; Primates; Cercopithecidae
Description: Metazoan signal recognition particle RNA (ENSMFAG00000064028.1)
Rfam family: Metazoan signal recognition particle RNA
About the family: The signal recognition particle (SRP) is a universally conserved ribonucleoprotein. It is involved in the co-translational targeting of proteins to membranes. The eukaryotic SRP consists of a 300-nucleotide 7S RNA and six proteins: SRPs 72, 68, 54, 19, 14, and 9.
Source: Rfam by way of RNAcentral